RNAcentral lists this ribosomal RNA (831 nucleotides) under uncultured bacterium. RNAcentral describes it as "bacterial SSU rRNA". It matches the Rfam family "Bacterial small subunit ribosomal RNA", at positions 8 to 827 of the family's 1533-position model. The record is from RNAcentral.
AGAGUUUGAUCAUGGCUCAGAGUGAACGCUGGCGGCAGGCCUAACACAUGCAAGUCGAACGGCAGCACAGGAGAGCUUGCUCUCUGGGUGGCGAGUGGCGGACGGGUGAGGAAUACGUCGGAAUCUGCCUAUUUGUGGGGGAUAACGUAGGGAAACUUACGCUAAUACCGCAUACGACCUACGGGUGAAAGCGGAGGACCUUCGGGCUUCGCGCAGAUAGAUGAGCCGACGUCGGAUUAGCUAGUUGGCGGGGUAAAGGCCCACCAAGGCGACGAUCCGUAGCUGGUCUGAGAGGAUGAUCAGCCACACUGGAACUGAGACACGGUCCAGACUCCUACGGGAGGCAGCAGUGGGGAAUAUUGGACAAUGGGCGCAAGCCUGAUCCAGCCAUGCCGCGUGUGUGAAGAAGGCCUUCGGGUUGUAAAGCACUUUUGUACGGGAAGAAAAGCACUCGGUUAAUACCCGGGUGUCAUGACGGUACCGUAAGAAUAAGCACCGGCUAACUUCGUGCCAGCAGCCGCGGUAAUACGAAGGGUGCAAGCGUUACUCGGAAUUACUGGGCGUAAAGCGUGCGUAGGUGGUUUGUUAAGUCUGAUGUGAAAGCCCUGGGCUCAACCUGGGAAUUGCAUUGGAUACUGGCAGUCUAGAGUGCGGUAGAGGGUAGCGGAAUUCCCGGUGUAGCAGUGAAAUGCGUAGAUAUCGGGAGGAACAUCCGUGGCGAAGGCGGCUACCUGGACCAGCACUGACACUGAGGCACGAAAGCGUGGGGGAGCAAACAGGAUUAGAUACCCUGGUAGUCCACGCCCUAAACGAUGCGAACUGGAUGUUGGG